GUUGGAAGGGUAGAAGCCUCCCAAGCCGAAGAUCGAUAGUCAAGUUUGAUAGAACAGAUGACCACAUUGGGAAUGAGAUCUCCCAAGUAGCUUAAGCUACCAGCAGUCAAGAAUAUUAGUCAAUGCUCGCAAGAGUGAACUAGCUAACUGAAAUCAAUGGUGUGUCAUCAUUGAUAAAGUAAGGGAAAAGAAAUGAUAUUACCUUACUAUUAGUGUCGUCCAAAUACUCGUGCCAGAAGACUCGGUAAGGCGAGAGACGCAAACGUUAGUCGUCCUAAUCAGGCGUAAAGGGUUUGUAGGCAGCUUUAAGAAUUUAUUCUCUCCACUAAAAUUAAUUUUUUAUUUAAAAAGUUAAGGAGUUAAAAGAGUGAGUCAAUUAAAGCUAGAAUCAAGUAGAGGUUAAUUUAAAUAAUGUUUGAACAUAGGGUUGAUAUCUAUAGAAUUCAAAUGGAAUACUAACGGCGAAGGCUUUUUUCCAAUAAUGAUUGACGCUGAGAAACUAAGGUGAGGAAAGAAAAAAGGAUUAGAGACCCUCGUAUCCCUCACUGUCAACGAUGAAUGGUAGUUACUAGAAAUAUAAUUCUAGAGACGAUGUUAACACGAAAACCAUUCCGCCUUGUGAGUACGGCUGCAAAGUUGAAAACAAAAAAAUUAGUCGGUUUCGGAGCAAACGGAGUGAAGCAUGUUGUUUAAUACGAUACCCCGCGUAAAAUCUUACCAGUCCUUGCAUAAAACUUUUAUUUAUAAAAGGUUGUAUCCUAACUCUUUAAUUAAAGAAUGUCGGAUCUUCAUACAGG
Molecule: ribosomal RNA, 797 nt
Filed under: Lyomyces sp. IV-2022a
Lineage: Eukaryota; Fungi; Basidiomycota; Agaricomycetes; Hymenochaetales; Schizoporaceae
Description: SSU rRNA
Rfam family: Bacterial small subunit ribosomal RNA
Source: RNAcentral